RNAcentral lists this ribosomal RNA (464 nucleotides) under uncultured bacterium. Its description in RNAcentral is "partial 16S ribosomal RNA". It matches the Rfam family "Bacterial small subunit ribosomal RNA", at positions 338 to 795 of the family's 1533-position model. The record is from RNAcentral.
CCUACGGGGUGCAGCAGUAGGGAAUUUUCGUCAAUGGGCGCAAGCCUGAACGAGCAAUGCCGCGUGAACGAGGAAGGUCUUCGGAUCGUAAAGUUCUGUUGAAGGGGAAAAAGAGCGGAGAGAGGAAAUGGUCUCCGAUUGAUAUUACCCUUCGAGGAAGUCACGGCUAACUACGUGCCAGCAGCCGCGGUAAUACGUAGGUGGCGAGCGUUAUCCGGAAUGAUUGGGCGUAAAGGGUGCGUAGGCGGCCUGCUAAGUCUGGAGUGAAAGGUACCGGCUCAACCGGUACAGGCUCUGGAAACUGGCGGGCAAGAGAGCAGGAGAGGGCGGUGGAACUCCAUGGGUAGCGGUAAAAUGCGUAGAUAUAUGGAAGAACACCAGUGGCGAAGGCGGCCGCCUGGCCUGUUACUGACGCUGAGGCACGAAAGCGUGGGGAGCAAAUAGGAUUAGAUACCCGAGUAGUC